Long non-coding RNA from Haliotis rubra (blacklip abalone), 129 nucleotides. RefSeq lists it as uncharacterized. NCBI's taxonomy places the organism in Eukaryota, Metazoa, Mollusca, Gastropoda, Lepetellida, Haliotidae. The transcript is spliced from 3 exons. The record is from RefSeq and is a predicted model, not a curated record.
AAUCUAUGUACUAUGACCACCUUCUCAACCAGGGCCUUGAUUUUCAAAGAUCUCUUUGCGCUAAGAUAGACGUAAGUCAAUGUUAAUGUAUGGCACUUAUGACUAUCUUAUUGCUAAGAUAGCUUCGAA